GCACGGUGAAUCAGUAGUCCUUUGCGACCGUAUAGCCCCAACCUCACCUCCCAAUUCCACCAGAGCCCGUCGCGGCACCGAUUUCCCCAUUCUAAGACGCCGGCGAGCAGAAUUCUCCGCUCUCCGUGGCCAGCCGUUCCCAGGUCUGCUCCUGAUCUUCUUAAUCGUGUUUUAGCACCCAUACAUGCUCGUGAUACUCAUCGGCUGAACCCUCUAUGCUUGACCACACUCAAUUAACCAGAACACAUGGAUUUGUAUUCGGUAUUCACCGCCACCGUGGUCGGGCUAAGCCAGGAACAUAAUAACCCAAUUAAAGCUUGUUCUAGGUGUGUCUCAGGUCAGGGAUGCUUGCCCAAUAAUUAAUUUGGGCAGCCACCACCGAUCUUGGCCGGUCCGAGCAACAGGGUGGUCGACGAUGAGCGCGUCGUAAUCCUGGGUCAAUUUGGAGAAGUAAUAAAAAUCGGGGGACCUCUGUGCAUUUGUCAGUGAGACAAUGAAUAGUGGCUAAGGGCUCUUCACCAGUUAUUUGAUUUAUCAGGGGCCUUUUCGCAAGACCGGCAACGCGGGCGCGGGCGCGCGCGCGCGCGUGUCCUCGCUUCUGCAGGCUGGUUUGGGCUGAAUUCAGCCCAACACUAUUCAUAGUUUCUCUUUUUCUUUUUCUGCCAGGAUUAGAGAAUUUCUAGAAAAUUGUAGAAAAAUGCUAAAAAUACAAGACCGAUUUUUCUAGGCUCCUAAAUUUCUAUAGUAUUUAAUAAAAAUAGUUUUAUGAUUUUCAGUCCAAAUAAGGAAUUAUGGAGUAUUUAAAACAGCCAAAACCUAUACUCCUAGAAUUUUAGAAAUUAGUAAUAACUCCAAAAAUCACCAAACUUUUUGGAUAAGCUUAAAAUAAUAUUUAGAAGCUUUGGGUAAAGUUUGGUAUGGUUUGGACGAUGUUUGUUACCUAAACCCCAAAACCCUAAACUUGUAAGUAGUGCCUGCCCUAUGAACUACAAUACUGACUUCAAAAACCCUAAUUUCCUGGAGUCCCGUGAAGGAAAAUUGUAUUCAAGACCUAAGAUAAUGUACCUUUAUUAUCUUUGUAUUUUCAUAAGCAUUACAUGAGCAUUCAUGAUUAUAUAUGGUUCUAUAUAGAAAAUGAAGAAGAAGUAGAGGUUGAAGAAGGAAGAGCUACACCACCACCUAAAGACCCACCUGCCGGGAACUGCUUUUAUUUUGAUAUUUGUGGAGCAGAGCCUGACUAUCCUAUAACACAAGGCAAGCCUCGGUGCAUUUGCCACCUCCUUGCUAUUUUAAAGUCUUUCUCACUUACUUGAUGCAUUAGGUGAUAGGAAUUGUGUGCUAAACAAUUGAUGCAUUUCCUUCCUUGGAAGAUUGAUUACCUUUCCUUAAUCACCUGUUUCAUAAAAAGGUUUUUCUUAUGCUUAGUCUUGCUCUAGAAAAACAAAAUGUUUUGUUUGCCAAAAGAUGAUGCUUAAACUGGGAUGGGAUGUUUUCAAAAAUAAAACUGGAUGGUGGAUCCAUCAUGGCCAUGAUAGGUUCAACAUCUGAAAAGAUGUACCUCUGUCAGGUACCAAAAUUUGGGUUGAAAUGAUAAAGCUAAGACCGAGCGGGGUGACUUGCACGGGAAGAGAGUCUAGGUGUAGUGUCUCCGUCUGAGUCGAUUAAGGACCUUGUCGAUGUAGGCUUGAUGAUGGAGGACCCUUUAACUGGUCACAUGCCUCAUCAUGGGUAAGCUUUGCCUCGGACAAACUAAUACCAGAAUAAGAUAACACACAAUGGGAGUGGAGAGAUGGCGAGACUAGCGUGUACCCUCCGUGGCAAGAGGCUGGACGGUGGUGUAUCUGUGCUCUCGGUUGGCUUGAACCUGAUCUGGUCUUAAGAAACCCGGUGGCGAGUUGACAUAUGCAAGGGUUCAGUGCUACAUAUGUCGUGUGAUUGGAGAUCCUCAGCUGAGUAUUAAUCGAUUCGGAUCGCUGUUACUUCUCGGACAUGAAGACUUGGUCACUAACCUACACGUAGCAUUCUAGUGAACAAGAAGGGUUGAUAAGAAAAUGGCUAGUAUAAGCCAAGUGCUUGAACUAGGGUAGAAAGAACUCUAGAAUCAGGUAAUGAAUUAACUUGCUAAUAAAACUGGAUUUUAAGGAUCCACUAUUAGUAAGCAUUUUUGCAAACAGAGUCUUGAUUCUUGAUUAAACCUUACCUUGACUCCCUCAAGCUAGCAUAUCCUUGAGAGUCUUUUAUUUUGACGAGUAAGACUUGCAAAAGUACACUUCGUACUCAGGGUUUUCGAACCCAUGUUGUUGUAGGUGAGGAAGCAGCAAACUUUUGUUGCUUUUGUUCUAAGGAUGAAGCUCAAGAAUGAAGUCACGGGAGGAUGUUGUCCUCCCUUUUAAAAACACUUUACUAUUAAACGAGAGGGGUUUUUGCCUCCCGGGUUUGUAAUAAUAUUACUCC
RNAcentral lists this long non-coding RNA (2454 nucleotides) under Zea mays. RNAcentral's name for it is "long non-coding RNA (ZMAY_LNC002796)". The record is from RNAcentral. Lineage: Eukaryota; Viridiplantae; Streptophyta; Magnoliopsida; Poales; Poaceae.